Molecule: ribosomal RNA, 624 nt
Filed under: Streptomyces sp. Ag2-6
Lineage: Bacteria; Bacillati; Actinomycetota; Actinomycetes; Kitasatosporales; Streptomycetaceae
Description: bacterial SSU rRNA
Rfam family: Bacterial small subunit ribosomal RNA
Source: RNAcentral
UUUCACUUGUUGGUGAGGUAGUGGCUCACCAAGGCGACGACGGGUAGCCGGCCUGAGAGGGCGACCGGCCACACUGGGACUGAGACACGGCCCAGACUCCUACGGGAGGCAGCAGUGGGGAAUAUUGCACAAUGGGCGAAAGCCUGAUGCAGCGACGCCGCGUGAGGGAUGACGGCCUUCGGGUUGUAAACCUCUUUCAGCAGGGAAGAAGCGAAAGUGACGGUACCUGCAGAAGAAGCGCCGGCUAACUACGUGCCAGCAGCCGCGGUAAUACGUAGGGCGCAAGCGUUGUCCGGAAUUAUUGGGCGUAAAGAGCUCGUAGGCGGCUUGUCACGUCGGUUGUGAAAGCCCGGGGCUUAACCCCGGGUCUGCAGUCGAUACGGGCAGGCUAGAGUUCGGUAGGGGAGAUCGGAAUUCCUGGUGUAGCGGUGAAAUGCGCAGAUAUCAGGAGGAACACCGGUGGCGAAGGCGGAUCUCUGGGCCGAUACUGACGCUGAGGAGCGAAAGCGUGGGGAGCGAACAGGAUUAGAUACCCUGGUAGUCCACGCCGUAAACGGUGGGCACUAGGUGUGGGCAACAUUCCACGUUGUCCGUGCCGCAGCUAACGCAUUAAGUGCCCCGUGG